This 558-nucleotide ribosomal RNA is filed under the name Spirulina sp. RNAcentral describes it as "bacterial SSU rRNA". It matches the Rfam family "Bacterial small subunit ribosomal RNA", at positions 148 to 738 of the family's 1533-position model. The record is from RNAcentral. Lineage: Bacteria; Bacillati; Cyanobacteriota; Cyanophyceae; Spirulinales; Spirulinaceae.
AGCGGGAAACCUGCUGCUAAUCCCGGAUGAGCCUAAGGGUAAAAGAUUUAUUGCCUGGAGAGGAGCUCGCGUCCGAUUAGCUAGUUGGUGAGGUAAGAGCUUACCAAGGCGACGAUCGGUAGCUGGUCUGAGAGGACGAUCAGCCACACUGGGACUGAGACACGGCCCAGACUCCUACGGGAGGCAGCAGUGGGGAAUUUUCCGCAAUGGGCGAAAGCCUGACGGAGCAAGACCGCGUGCGGGAGGAAGGCCCUUGGGUCGUAAACCGCUUUUCUUAGGGAAGAAGCUCUGACGGUACCUAAGGAAUCAGCCUCGGCUAACUCCGUGCCAGCAGCCGCGGUAAUACGGAGGAGGCAAGCGUUAUCCGGAAUUAUUGGGCGUAAAGCGUCCGCAGGCGGCUUACCAAGUCUGCUGUCAAAUACCAGAGCUCAACUCUGGGUCGGCGGUGGAAACUGGCAAGCUAGAGUACAGUAGGGGUAGAGGGAAUUCCCAGUGUAGCGGUGAAAUGCGUAGAGAUUGGGAAGAACACCGGUGGCGAAAGCGCUCUACUGGGCUGUA